RNAcentral lists this ribosomal RNA (1337 nucleotides) under Aethus nigritus. RNAcentral's name for it is "16S ribosomal RNA". The stretch from base 884 to 1255 matches the Rfam family "Archaeal large subunit ribosomal RNA", at positions 2150 to 2716 of the family's 2987-position model. The record is from RNAcentral. Lineage: Eukaryota; Metazoa; Arthropoda; Insecta; Hemiptera; Cydnidae.
UUAUUAAUAAAUUUAACGGUAAUAUUUAUUUGGUGUAUUUAUUAUAAUAAAUAAAUUGUGUCUUAGUAUUGUUUUACAGAAUUAGAUAGGUUUUAUGAUUUAUAGUUUAGUUUUAUCUGUAAAGUUCAAUUUUAGUAAUUUAUUUAAGUAGAGAUUUAAUCUUGUACCUUUUGUAUCAGGGUUUAUUAAUUUAGGAUAAUUAUUUAAUUGUUUUUCCCGAAAUUAGAAGAGAUAUAUAUUAGUUUUAUUGAAUAAUGUAGAUUUCAAAUUGUUAAUUAUUGUUUCAAAAUUAUUAAUAAAUUUUAUAUAGGGGUUAUAUGCUAUUCAAUUUUAAAUAUCUGGUUAUUUAAUAAAUGAAUUUAAUUCAGAAUCAUAUUGUUAUUGGUAAUUUUUAAUUAAAUUAGGAUUUACUUAUAUUGAUUUAAUAUUAUAAGGGAUUAGCUUUAUAAUGUUUAUUAUAAUAGUAAUUAAUAAAAUAAAAAGUUUUGUAGGCUUAGAAUCAGCCAUUUAUAAUUCGUUAUAGUUAAUUUUUACUUAAUUUAUUUAUUUAUUUAAGAUUUAAAUUUUUAUUAAAUUGUUCGUUGUAAUUUUAUUAUUGAAGUAAUAAUGAUAGAAUUAGUAAUAUAUUAAUAUUGGAUAUAGUAAUUCGGCAAGAUUAAUAUUCACCUGUUUAACAAAAACAUGGCUUAAUUGUAUAAGUUUAUUAAGUCAGGCCUGCUCAAUGAUUAUAAUUAAUUAAAUAGCCGCAGUAUUUUGACUGUGCGAAGGUAGCAUAAUCAUUUGUCUUUUAAUUGUGGGCUUGUAUGAAUGGUUUGAUGAGAUAUUAACUUUCUUUAUUCAAUAUUUACGAAAUUAAUACUUGAGUUAAAAAGCUUAAAUGUUUUCGUGGGACGAGAAGACCCUAUAGAGUUUUAUAAUUAUAGUUAUUAAAUUAUUCAUUGGUAAGUUUCAUUAAUUCAAUAGUUUAAUUAUUUUGUUGGGGUGACGGGAAAAUUUUAUUAACUUUUCUUUAUUUUAUAUUAAUAAUUAUUAUGUUUAGAAUGAUCCUUUAUUAAGGAUAAUAAGAUUAAAUUACCUUAGGGAUAACAGCGUAAUUCUUUUGGAGAGUUCAUAUCGAUAAUGGAGUUUGCGACCUCGAUGUUGGAUUAAAAUAAGUAUUAAGUGCAGGAGUUUAAUUACUAGGUCUGUUCGACCUUUAAUAUUUUACAUGAUCUGAGUUCAGACCGGCGUGAGCCAGGUUGGUUUCUAUCUUUGAAUUAAUUAUUUCAUUUUAGUACGAAAGGACCAAAUGGAUUAUAUAUUAUAUAUUAUAAUAUUGAUUAUUAUUAAUAUUAAUU